CCUACGGGAGGCAGCAGUAGGGAAUCUUCCGCAAUGGACGAAAGUCUGACGGAGCAACGCCGCGUGAACGAUGAAGGCCUUCGGGUCGUAAAGUUCUGUUGUUAGGGAAGAACAAGUGCUAGUUGAAUAAGCUGGCACCUUGACGGUACCUAACCAGAAAGCCACGGCUAACUACGUGCCAGCAGCCGCGGUAAUACGUAGGUGGCAAGCGUUGUCCGGAAUUAUUGGGCGUAAAGCGCGCGCAGGCGGUUUCUUAAGUCUGAUGUGAAAGCCCCCGGCUCAACCGGGGAGGGUCAUUGGAAACUGGGAAACUUGAGUGCAGAAGAGGAAAGUGGAAUUCCAAGUGUAGCGGUGAAAUGCGUAGAGAUUUGGAGGAACACCAGUGGCGAAGGCGACUUUCUGGUCUGUAACUGACGCUGAGGCGCGAAAGCGUGGGGAGCAAACAGGAUUAGAUACCCUGGUAGUCCACGCUGUAAACGAUGAGUGCUAAGUGUUAGAGGGUUUCCGCCCUUUAGUGCUGAAGUUAACGCAUUAAGCACUCCGCCUGGGGAGUACGGUCGCAAGACUGAAACUCAAAGGAAUUGACGG
RNAcentral lists this ribosomal RNA (588 nucleotides) under uncultured bacterium. RNAcentral's name for it is "bacterial SSU rRNA". It matches the Rfam family "Bacterial small subunit ribosomal RNA", at positions 338 to 916 of the family's 1533-position model. The record is from RNAcentral.